GAAAACCGCUGCCAGGGAGACUUUUGAACUCCGCCGCUCGCUGUCUGGCUCUCCCCUCUCGGCCCGGUGCACCUCUCUCCACCCUCCCCCCUGCACCCUCCUGGCCGGCGCGCUCGCCAGCGCGCUCGCUCGCUCGCUCUCCCGCGACCCGACGAGUCCUCAACAAGUUGGAGGAAGGCAGGAACGGAGGGGUUAAGCUCGGAGAGCCGCAAUUACCAAGAUCGUGACCCUCCCACACAGUACAGUAACUUAUAUACUUACCUGGAAGAGCCCGCUCUGCCGCCGGGCCAACACCCGUGGGGGGCGGGGAAGGGCGGGAGGGGAGCGGGCCGGUUGGAGAGGGGCUCCUCCACGCUGGCUGCAGUGCGGACCGGACCGGCGCGCUCCAGGGACCUGGGGACCCAGGUAAUCAAAACUGCCCUGACACCUGGACGUCUGCAUGAGGGAUGGUCACAGAAGGAGGAAGUCUCAGAGGCCAUAGGAGCUAAAGAGUCUAUGCAGAUGAGCUCUGGAGUCCCAGGAGUCUCCUGCUGA
This 534-nucleotide long non-coding RNA is filed under the name Capra hircus (goat). Its description in RNAcentral is "lncRNA (ENSCHIG00000001704.1)". Lineage: Eukaryota; Metazoa; Chordata; Mammalia; Artiodactyla; Bovidae. The record is from RNAcentral.